CUUCGGGCCUUGCACUAUUGGAUGAGCCUAUGUCGGAUUAGUUAGUUGGUGGGGUAAAGGCCUACCAAGGCAGCGAUCCGUAGCUGGUCUUAGAGGAUGAUCAGCCACAUCGGGACUGAGACACGGCCCGAACUCCUACCGGGAGGCAGCAGUGGGGAAUAUUGCACAAUGGGCGCAAGCCUGAUGCAGCUAUGCCGCGUGUGUGAAGAAGGCCUUAGGGUUGUAAAGCACUUUCAGUAGUGAGGAAAAGUGUUGUGUUAAUAGCGCAAUGCUGUGACGUUAGCUACAGAAGAAGGACCGGCAAACUCCGUG
Molecule: ribosomal RNA, 312 nt
Filed under: uncultured bacterium
Lineage: Bacteria
Description: bacterial SSU rRNA
Rfam family: Bacterial small subunit ribosomal RNA
Source: RNAcentral